CAAUACCGUGAGGUGGAGCGAAUCACAAAACCCGGACCUCAGUUCAGAUUGCAGGCUGCAACUCGCCUGCAUGAAGUUGGAAUUGCUAGUAAUCGCGAAUCAGAAUGUCGCGGUGAACACGUUCCCGGGCCUUGUACACACCGCCCGUCACACCAUGAGAGUCGAUAACACCCGAAGCCUGUGAGCUAACCGCAAGGAAGGAGCAGCCGAAGGCAGGUCGGAUGACUGGGGUGAAGUCGUAACAAGGUACC
Molecule: ribosomal RNA, 251 nt
Filed under: uncultured bacterium
Lineage: Bacteria
Description: partial 16S ribosomal RNA
Rfam family: Bacterial small subunit ribosomal RNA
Source: RNAcentral